RNAcentral lists this long non-coding RNA (571 nucleotides) under Heterocephalus glaber (naked mole-rat). RNAcentral's name for it is "lncRNA (ENSHGLG00000048698.1)". The record is from RNAcentral. Lineage: Eukaryota; Metazoa; Chordata; Mammalia; Rodentia; Bathyergidae.
AAUUUGGCGAGAAUAACAAUGUCUUAUUGGUGUGAGAACUGUGUGAGAAAAUUGGUGUAAAAUAUGUCAAUCAGCUUUCAUGUUUUACUGAGCCGCUUCAACUCAACUGGCUUCAAAGAGGAAGUUAUAUUUUUUUCUCCAUGUAAUCAUGAGAACAUAAAGUGUACAUCAAAUUGGGAUUGUUUGGAAGGAAGGACAAACUGUACUAUCCCUUCACUGCAAGCAGAGGACUGCGAUUGCAGACCUGGGCAAAUGUGGGUGCAUAACGCUAGGAGGAUACAGGCCUGCAGACAACACCAGAGAGGCAUGCUCCCAUCCCAGCAGGGCAUGAUCAUCUUACCAUGGCUAGGAGGAAGAAAUGGGAAUGCAAAAAAACUUGUUUGUUUUAAAAUCUCCAAGGCUUUUUGCUAGAACCAAGUGUCAACAACAGUGUGCUAUCUGGUCCAAGAGCCUGCCUGAGGCCAUCAUCACCUGGCAGCUUUUUGCUUCCCUGUUUUAAUAUAGAUAAGUUAAAGACUGAUGCCUGACCAAAACAACACUUUUAACAAUUAAAAAUUUAAAUAAAGUAACU